Molecule: long non-coding RNA, 810 nt
Organism: Phragmites australis (common reed)
Lineage: Eukaryota; Viridiplantae; Streptophyta; Magnoliopsida; Poales; Poaceae
Exons: 2
Source: RefSeq, a predicted model, not a curated record
GACUAGGUGGAAGCUCGCCGACUCCGCUGUCGUUGUAGAGGAGCUCUGGUUUUUAGAUCCUACUCUCGAAUCUUUUUGGCUCUGAUUUCUUCCCGAUUGCACUGUUUAAUUUGGUAAAGAAGAGCUGUCCCUUUCUUGAAGAUCUCCCCAAUUACAUCUUGCUUUUUAAACCCUUGGUUCUUGCUGUACAAUGAGUUGGAUUCCAUGUAAAGGUGCUUCUUUCUUGGAGAUUUUGUCCUCCCAAAUAAAUGCCUAAUUUGGUUCUUGUUGAUGGUUCUAGCUGAGGCUUGAUUGUGGGGAAUUUUUUUAACUAAACUGAUAAAGGUUUGAUGUGGAUGAAUGAAGGUGGCAAGCGCAGGACUUCUCGCUGCUCAGCCACAGCACCAUCUCCUUCUUCGACGAACCCAAGCCGGAGACAGCCGCCUCACGCUAGAACCGCGUCAGCCUCAUUGCAUCCAAGAUCUCAAUUGCUACCUCAAGAAAGCUUGUUAUGUUCUGUAUUUCUCCUUUGUUUCUUGAAGUUGUUGUGUUUGUGAGCUUUACACAGGUGGGUCAGGGUCUAUCCAGAGACGACAAGGCUCUGAAGCUGGCUUUCCAGCACGGGAUCGAGGCCGAUUUGCGGACUAUCAAUCUAAAUGUAGAUUGGACACUAUUUGGGCAUGUGGAUCUGUGUUGACAUUCUUUUUUAUGUCAUUGUAUAGGUGUAGGACAUUUGACUUACAAAUUGUUUGUAAAGGAACAUAUGUAUGAAUGCUUAUCUAAGUAUAAUUGAGAAUUGUUCAGUUAUAAAUGCAGUGAUAUAUUAUGUUA